UCGAAUUAAUCUGGCUAAUCAUCCGUUAUUAGCCAAGAUGUUAUUAGAGAGGGAUUUACAGUUUAAUUCUCAGAUGCUGUUAGACGUAAUAAUGAGGUUUCAUCAAAAUGAACAUUAUGACCAGUUAAAUAGUUUUAAUGAAAACGAGAACGUAAAAACCGUUUAGAUAUAGAUACAUUCAAACUAAGAUUAGAGAAGAGUCAAGAUAUUAAAAUAGAUGAACUAUUGAAAAUGCUAAAUCGGGAUUUAGAUAGGUCAGACUUUGUCAAAAUUGCUCACAUUGGAAUUCAAAUCGCAAACGAAGACGGUUCGGAUGAAAUGGAACCUUCAAGGAAGAAGAAAAAGAAGCGAUGUGAAAAACCAAAUGUACCUUCGAGUUACAAACUGGUUGUGGAAUCGAGCCUUGUGGGGUGUAAGGAAUGCUAUAGAAACCAGACAUCGGAGAGCUUGGAUUUUGGAUAUUUUGAUAUUGUUGAAGAUUUCCACUUCCUUGCAGUACUGGGGAGCUAAAAUUUGGUGUGGAAUUUGGUGUGAAAGAGUUCUUUGCAUUAUUAUUGUUCAUAAUCAAGUCUUUCUCAGUACAA
Molecule: long non-coding RNA, 584 nt
Organism: Mytilus californianus (California mussel)
Lineage: Eukaryota; Metazoa; Mollusca; Bivalvia; Mytilida; Mytilidae
Exons: 2
Source: RefSeq, a predicted model, not a curated record